AAGGAGCGGUAGGGGAGAGGUAAAGGAGAGGAGAGGUAAUGGAGAGGUAGCGGAGAGGUAAAGGAGAGGAGAGGUAAAAGAGAGGUAGGGUAGAGUUCAAGGAGAGAUAAAGGAGAGGAGAGGUAAAGGAGAGGUAGGGUAGAGUUCAAGGAGAGGUAAAGGAGAGGAGAGGUAAUGGAGAGGUAGGGGAGAGGUAAAGGAGAGGUAAAGGAGAGGAGAGGUAAAAGAGAGGUAGGGGAGAGGUAGGGGAGAGGUAAAGGAGAGGUAAAGGAGAGGAGGGGUAAAGGAGAAGUGAGGUAAAG
Molecule: long non-coding RNA, 302 nt
Organism: Oncorhynchus tshawytscha (Chinook salmon)
Lineage: Eukaryota; Metazoa; Chordata; Actinopteri; Salmoniformes; Salmonidae
Source: Ensembl